GGUCCAGCCCAGCCUCGAACUCACAGAGAUCCGCCUGCCUCAGCCUCCCGAGUGCUGGGAUUAAAGGCGUGAGCCACCACCGCCCAGUUUAACUGUGUAAUUUUUGACCAGUCAUUUAUUUAGUUGAAACCUUGAUGUCUUGCUGUCCAUCCCUGGGUCAGGGUUAUAUUUUCUUUCUUUCUUUUUUUUUUGAGACAGGGUUUCUCUGUGUCGUCCUAACUGUCCUAGAACUCACUCUGUAGACCAGGCUCGCCUCAAACUCACAGAGAUCCUCCUGCCUCUGCUUCCCAAGUGCUGGGAUUAAAGACAUUUGAAGCCACCACCCUACUUCUUUUUAUUUUUUUAAAUUUGUUAUUUUAUUUAAUGUGUAUGGUUGUUUUAUAUGAACAUAUGUCUCUAUACCACCCACGUACAUGCCCGGUGCCUGCAGAGGCCAGAAGAAGGCAUCAGAUCUCCUGACGCUGGAGUUACAGAUGAUGGUGAACAGUGUUGACACUGGAACCGAACCCUACUCCUGCGCAAAAGCUACAAGUGCUCUUAACCACUGUGCCACCCGGCUCCUAGUUACCGUUCCCGUUUUGGUGAUGAUAUAGUCUACAGAAGCAACUUUGUAGGGAUUUAGUUGGGCUCGCGGUUUGAGAGGAUACAGUCCAUCACGGCAGAGAUGGCGCCGCAGAGGGAACAAACAGCUCCUCUUUGUGCCGGUGAGACCACGAGUCCGGGUGGAUCUGCAGCAGAGAGCCCAGGCACAAACACUCUAGCCCAGCAUUCUCAACCUUCCUACCGCUGUGACCCUUUAGUGCAAUUCCCCCACGUUGUGGUGACCCCCUCAACCCUAAAAUAAUUUUGUUGCUGCUUCGUAACUGCAAUUUUGCUGUCGCAAUGAAUCAUAACGUGAAUAUGGGCUAUGAGACCCCCGAGGGGUCAUGCAUGACCCACGGUUUGAGAACCACUACUUUGGUCCUUUCCCAACAGCCUUCUAUCGGCCAGUUAGGCCUCAGGUCUGAAAGAUCUUGCAACCUCCAAAACAGAAGUGGUCUAAACACUCCAGGGGGCACAAAUUGCCCUCUUAGCUCAUGCCUGCCUUUUGUCAUCCAUAGUUGCAAAUGCCUAGUGCAAAGGGAAAAUGCCCGUUUUUCUCUCACUAACGAAAUCGAAGUUCAGCAUAGGAGAGGAAUAUUAUUUUAUGAAAAUCUCCUCUGGGGAGAUCUGGGUGAGGUCUGAGAGGACAUGUUGGAGCUACAAGAGAGUUGUUCUUUCUGGGAUGUGCAACUGCUCUUUGAAUCCGCUCUUUGCCCUUUCUCCUACAGAUUUUUUCUUCUUCUUUUCUGUUGUUAUUUUUUAACCGAGAACGCGCGUUUCCAGCUGGCAAGGUCUGUGCUCAGCUUCUUCGGAGCAAACUGAGGCGUGUCGGUGAGAGGAUGCUGUGACAAGGGCCGGUGGCUGCCCCCUGAACCAAGGAGGCGAGGCGAAGGACGGACGCCGGAGUAUUCAGCAGGCACACAGCCCAAGUUGUCUGAAUGCCCCUUUCGUCACUGUUCCGCGCGUUUGCACUGCAGGGAGAAAGCCCCCGGGUGUCUGGAGCGCUGUCUGUCGCCAGAGCCCGUUCUCCAUCAGCUGCUCCUUUUGGUCAGGAAUGCUGUGAUAAGGAAUGGAGUGGAAUGCGAGCACUCAAUCAAAGCUAACCGGGAUGGCCUUUCUCGAGCAGAGGGCACAGGGGGGCGGGGAUUGCGCUCCCUGGGAACAUCAAAAACAAGGAGGACACGGAACUCAGGAGAGAAUGUGCCGACUGUGCUCUUCUUCGAGCUACCUCUGACCUGCAAUUGCAAACAUUUUUCUCCUAUCUGGUUGCACCUUUGAGGAUGUCCCCUGGGAUUGCAGCUUACUGAAUAGUUCUAUUUAGCUCGGCAUGGGAGGACCUGGUACAUGAAGGAACCCAUGGAGCCCAGAAGAGGGUGCUAAAUUCCCUGGGAGGUGGAGUUCCAGGAGACUGUGAUCUGCUGUAAUUGGGGAUCCUGGGAACCGAAACUGGGUCGUUAAUUAACUAAAUGACACUUGAAAAUA
Molecule: long non-coding RNA, 2064 nt
Organism: Mesocricetus auratus (golden hamster)
Lineage: Eukaryota; Metazoa; Chordata; Mammalia; Rodentia; Cricetidae
Exons: 2
Source: RefSeq, a predicted model, not a curated record